RNAcentral lists this ribosomal RNA (468 nucleotides) under uncultured bacterium. Its description in RNAcentral is "partial 16S ribosomal RNA". It matches the Rfam family "Bacterial small subunit ribosomal RNA", at positions 28 to 507 of the family's 1533-position model. The record is from RNAcentral.
GACGAACGCUGGCGGCGUGCUUAACACAUGCAAGUCGAACGGAAAGGCCCUGCUUUUGUGGGGUGCUCGAGUGGCGAACGGGUGAGUAACACGUGAGUAACCUGCCCUUGACUUUGGGAUAACUUCAGGAAACUGGGGCUAAUACCGGAUAGGAGCUCCUGCUGCAUGGUGGGGGUUGGAAAGUUUCGGCGGUUGGGGAUGGACUCGCGGCUUAUCAGCUUGUUGGUGGGGUAGUGGCUUACCAAGGCUUUGACGGGUAGCCGGCCUGAGAGGGUGACCGGCCACAUUGGGCCUGAGAUACGGCCCAGACUCCUACGGGCGGCAGCAGUGGGGAAUAUUGCACAAUGGGCGGAAGCCUGAUGCAGCAACGCCGCGUGCGGGAUGACGGCCUUCGGGUUGUAAACCGCUUUCGCCUGUGACGAAGCGUGAGUGACGGUAAUGGGUAAAGAAGCACCGGCUAACUACGUG